RNAcentral lists this ribosomal RNA (465 nucleotides) under uncultured bacterium. RNAcentral's name for it is "partial 16S ribosomal RNA". It matches the Rfam family "Bacterial small subunit ribosomal RNA", at positions 28 to 507 of the family's 1533-position model. The record is from RNAcentral.
GACGAACGCUGGCGGCGUGCCUAACACAUGCAAGUCGAACGGAAAGGCCCCUUUUGGGGUACUCGUGUGGCGAACGGGGGUGUAACAUGUGUGUAACCCGCCCUUGUCUUCGGGAUAACCUUACGAAAAUGGGCCCAAUUCCGGCAAGGAAUCUUUGCUGCAUGGUGGGGGUUGGUAAGAUUCCGCGGUUUUGGAUGGACUUGCGGCGUAUCAGCUUGUUGGUGGGGUAGUGGCUUACCAAGGCGUCGACGGGUAGCUGGCCUGAGAGGGUGACCGGCCACACUGGGACUGAGGGGCGGCCGAGGCGCGGAAGGGUGGAAGCAGUGGGGAAGCUUGCACAAGGGGCGGAGGGCGGAUGAAGCAAGGCCUCGGGUGGGAUAACGGUCUUAGGGGUGAAAACCGCUUUCAGCAGGAGCGAAGCUUGUGGUGACGGUACCUGCAGAAGAAGCACCGGCUAACUACGUG